This 121-nucleotide small nucleolar RNA is filed under the name Erythranthe guttata (spotted monkey flower). RNAcentral's name for it is "Mimulus guttatus (spotted monkey flower) Small nucleolar RNA SNORD14". It matches the Rfam family "Small nucleolar RNA SNORD14". Rfam says of the family: U14 small nucleolar RNA (U14 snoRNA) is required for early cleavages of eukaryotic precursor rRNAs. In yeasts, this molecule possess a stem-loop region (known as the Y-domain) which is essential for function. The record is from Rfam by way of RNAcentral. Lineage: Eukaryota; Viridiplantae; Streptophyta; Magnoliopsida; Lamiales; Phrymaceae.
UGUCUAUGAUGAUAAAUCUAAGGCUUGUUUCUCAAAACAUUCGCAGUGGCCGCCUGAUUGCUUUCGCCUUUGCCGGGCUUGAGAGCACAUGUUGCUUAUCCUUCCUUGGAUGUCUGAGACU